Molecule: ribosomal RNA, 253 nt
Filed under: uncultured bacterium
Lineage: Bacteria
Description: partial 16S ribosomal RNA
Rfam family: Bacterial small subunit ribosomal RNA
Source: RNAcentral
UACGGAGGGGGAUAGCGUUGUUCGGAAUUACUGGGCGUAAAGCGCGCGUAGGCGGAUUUGCAAGUCGGGGGUGAAAUCCCGAGGCUCAACCUCGGAACUGCCUUCGAUACUGCAAAUCUCGAGUCCGGAAGAGGUGAGUGGAAUUCCUAGUGUAGAGGUGAAAUUCGUAGAUAUUAGGAAGAACACCAGUGGCGAAGGCGGCUCACUGGUCCGGUACUGACGCUGAGGCGCGAAAGCGCGGGGAGCAAACAGG